Long non-coding RNA from Megachile rotundata (alfalfa leafcutting bee), 502 nucleotides. RefSeq lists it as uncharacterized. NCBI's taxonomy places the organism in Eukaryota, Metazoa, Arthropoda, Insecta, Hymenoptera, Megachilidae. The record is from RefSeq and is a predicted model, not a curated record.
AACUGUUAUUAACAACUACAUUGCACGGUUUGGAAUUUCAAAAAUGUUUCCUAUUAUUUUUCGUCUUGGUAUUCAAACUGAAAUCACAGGUCGGUAUGGCAGUCACACGUGAGAAACAAAAGACUGAAAAGUGAAAUGUCUUCUCGUAUGUCUUAUCUAUGCUGAAAUACACCUUAGAUAAAUUUUAUUAUCGCACAUACAGUGACAGAAUAAUAUUUGAUGAAUUAUUAUUACCUAUCAGCAAAGCAACAGAAGGUGCUCCUGCAAAAAAAUACUUUCCCGCCAUCAUUCAGAAUGACGGCAUAUUGAUGUAUAAUUCAAUUCUGUUUGAAUUGAAAUCUUGCCGAAAUUCACACGGUAAUAGAAUAAAAUAGCACAAAAUUAAUGUAAAAAGUAUUUACAAUUUUUGUAAAACUCAAUUACAAUAAUUAGAGAAAGGAAUACAAAUUAGUAUUAUAUCAUUGGUGAUUUUUCAUCGAAUUAAAAGCAAAAUAUUACAAUG